This 4890-nucleotide long non-coding RNA is filed under the name Rattus norvegicus (Norway rat). RNAcentral's name for it is "lncRNA (ENSRNOG00065023366.1)". The stretch from base 2898 to 2983 matches the Rfam family "mir-145 microRNA precursor family". The record is from RNAcentral. Lineage: Eukaryota; Metazoa; Chordata; Mammalia; Rodentia; Muridae.
CAACACCAGGCUCGCUUCUUCAGCUCAUAUAAGGUAAAAGGCAGCGAGGCCUCGGUGGCCAGAGAGCCACGGGCAAGGGGCUGAGCAGAGGGGGGUCCAGUGCAAGUUGCUUAAAAAUGCCCCUGUAGCAUCAAGGGGUGCCAGACCCAAGUGAACUUAGUUGAGAAGCAGUAACACCCACAACCACACCCCAAACAGACUGGGCCUCCACCUCCGAAGAGUCAUCCCUGGACCAGACACCAGUCAAGGAGAGAGUGAUGGCUGGUAGGAUUCCCCCUACACUGGAGAAGAGCCCCAGAAAGGAAUCUUCCUGAGAAGGCGAGAAGGGACAGGAAUGGCUGCCCGGCUCCCAGAACUGAGCUUUCCAACAGUCAGAAGGCAGAGAUCCCCCAGCCUGGAGACAUUUUCUGAAGACACGGGGAAAGGAGAAAAGGCGGGCUACUCCCUGGCAAGCUGCUAAGAGCCAGUACCAAGAACGCCAGGCGCCGACCUGAACCCCCUUCCUGAAGUAAGCAGGCCUCAGGAAGAAGUCAGAGGCAAAACAACCAGGCUUUCUUCUCCUUACACGGGACCCCAGGUCAACAGGCACUGUGGCUCAUGCCUAUAAUCCCAGAAUUCCAGAAGUAGAAACGGGACCUGAGAAAAGGCUGCCUACCCUGUUCAGAAAACCCUGAGAGUACACAUACAUCAUCCAGCAUCAAGGCCACCACAGUCACCAUGAAGCAGAGGUCUUCUAGGGACCCUGGGAUCUUAGCAAGAGCUGGGUGAGUGGGUGGUUUGGGGUGGGAGUGCUCUGCUCACACAAGCCAUGGCCACAGGAGAAAAGGAAUCAUUCACGUGGUUACUCAGUCGCCACUGUCUGUGCGCAUGUGCAAAGUCAUCGGCAGGUUCUAGGGCCCCCAAAUUAUAAUAUAUGGACCCUGGCCUCAGGGAAAUGGAGAGGUAAGCUAGGGUGACCCAGAGAUGAACCACUCCAAAGCCACAGAGGGUGAUGUGGGUUGCGAUUGAUCUACUUAAGCAGUGUUCAACAUGGCCUUGAUUCGGGGGCAGAGGAAAGCCAGCAGACUCCCUUUCCUGAAGGGAAAGUGAAGGAAAGUGCUCCCAGAUGAAAACAGUACCCCAAGAGCUAGGAAGAAACAGAGUUCAAAGGUUGGGAGCGCCCAUGAAGGAGAUGUCCUUGGAUCUAAAGAAGUAAGGGGUGGUUUCUCAGUAGCUGUCAUUUGUCCAGACUGCAUACAGAGACGGAUGGGGCAAAUACGGGAACCACAAGUUGAGCAGGCACAGAGAGGCUAUCUGCAAGGCCCUGGGUUCCAUCUUUAGCACUGAAAAAAAAAAUUAACUGCACACUUCAGAUGGGUAGGGUCCAUCUCAAGAAAGCUAACUUUAAAAGACAAAGGACACGAAGAUGGACGUUUCCUUCCCAGAGGUCUCCAGGGCGUGUCCAGACCAGUAUAGGAGGCAGACCACUGCGCAUGCUCAUUCUCCUGCCCAGGAAGAAAGCCGUGGCCUGAGCGCGGAGCGCCUGUCUCCCAGCCUGAGGUGCAGUGCUGCAUCUCUGGUCAGUUGGGAGUCUGAGAUGAAGCACUGUAGCUCAGGAAGGGAGAAGAUGUUCUGCAGCCGUCGCCGGGACAUGGUAAGUGUUGGUGAGGGGUAGCGGGCCCGAUCGGUUGUCCCUAGAGUCCGCUGCAGCAACUUGUGGUGAUGUUCCUUGACUCAGGCUGUACCAGGGCUGAGCACUCUUAUGCCAUCCGUAACAGUAAACGCUGGUUCAUUCAAUGGCCGCCAGCACCAACACACUGCCUUUACUUCCUCAGCCCAGAGAAGACACUGCUAACAAACAAACAAACAAACAAACCGCGGCAUCUAUCCAUUCUGAGAGGGUUCCAACACGCCCUCGGAAUCCUUCUCAACACUGAAUAUCUACUAUAAAUGGUUCUGCGUUGAAACCCCUUCAUCUCUGUGGAUCAGACAGUCCCAAACAACCCUUAGUCCUAGAGGUAGAGGCGAACGGUCCUGGCAACCCAACAGAAGUGCCACACAUUAGGCUUGGAGUCACUGUCCUCACUCUUUGAGCUCUAACCCUGGUUGGUGCUGUUGCCUCAACCAGUCUGGCAUCUCGCAAAUGUCUGCCCUGUCCCAGAGGCUUCAGAGAGGCAAGGGGCAACAGAGGGGAGCCACUGGGGUCUACCCAUUUGUAUUUAACCUCCCUAGCCUGCUCAGAGGAAGCUGACCCACUUCAUAGAGCAGAGUAUGAAAAUAGAACGCACCCCACGCGGUCUACAGCUGGUUACUCUCAGCUGUAGUGACAUCAGAACCACACACUUCUACAUGUCCACCUGCAGGCCAGAAGAGGGCAUCAGAUCCCUUUAUAAAUGGUCCUGAGCCAGGUGGCUGCUGGGAAUUGAACUCAGGACCUCUGGAAGCGCAGCCAGCACUCUUAAUCGCUGAGCCAUCUGUCCAGCCCCUGACCAUACAUAUUUCUAAGAGUCCUGUGGCCUCACUUCCUUCAUGCUGGCUCCUCGCCCACCCAGUAGGUCCUAUUUGAUGCCACCUCACAAUCGAGCAAAGAUCAGAGUCUAAGUGACCUGCUGGAGGACAACAGUGAGAAAGUCGAUAGAGCCUGGGAACGGAUUUCAUGACCACUGGCCAGAGUUCUCAUGGCCCCAUGGCAAGGGGGAGGGGGCAGGGAGGACUGGUCCCAAAUGCUUCCUGACCUCAGGGGAGGUACUUUCCAAGCCACUCAGAGCUCUGGUUGCUCUCCCCAGAGUAGAGAGCUGCAUCCUGAGAAGUGAGGUGCAUAUAGCACCCCACACUGGCUGCCAGAGCUGGCGCCGGAUGCAGGGAAAACUGCUCGUCCCUAGGGGUGGGCGUGGCACUGCUGAAGGCAUCUCUCUCCCACCUUGUCCUCACGGUCCAGUUUUCCCAGGAAUCCCUUGGAUGCUAAGAUGGGGAUUCCUGGAAAUACUGUUCUUGAGGUCAUGGCUUAACAGCUGGAUCUGCCUCCUUCCCACCCUGACAUUUCCUCCCAGGGAGAAGGGAGGAGGAGGAGGUGCAUCGGAGGGAGGUAAGCGGUCUUGGGACCUCUUCUGACCUUUGUGUUGCUUUUUUCCCACUGCGUCCAUAUUUCCUAACAUCCCGGGGAGGUUGGAUGUGGGAACCUCAGAACUGCUUCACUCUUGAGAAACUUGUCUCGAGUCACAGUGGUUGAACCAGACUCCGAGACAGCCUUCCCUCCACUCUGACCCUCCACAUUCCUUCCCACAGGCCCAUAUCCACAUUAUUAAGAAAGUAAUACACAAAUUUAUUUUCAAGGUUUAUUAAAUCAGUUAGGUAAACUAAGAAACAGUUCGUCUCCAUUGAAUUUGGAGGGCAGCCACAGGAAAAUGAGGUUUCAAGGUAGAAAAUAUGCUAUUUGGAGCGCCCCUGGUGGUGUUUCUUCCCACUGCAGGGACACUCGUGACCCCUGUACACAACCAGGGCUUAAUUAACCCUUAUUCAUCUCUCGCCAGAGAUGUGUCCAUGUCUUAGAGUUGGCUUUUCCUUAGGCAGACCACCUAGAAAGCAAAAGGUAGAACCAGGAUUGAUUUUGAGCCUGGAAUUGAAUGUCUGAGUCAAAAGAAAAAGUGGCUCCCCCCACCUCCCGCCCCAACUCUUGGGAGUUCUGUUUUUUUCUCAGUAAGUCUUUGCUCACUGUGCUAAAAAAUAAAUAAAUAGAUAAAAAUUAAAAAUAAAGCACACACCUUUAUUUGCAACACUUGGGAGGCAGAGGCAGGAGUGGAAGUCAAAACCCUUGAUGAAAUCCAGCUAUAAAAUAGGACUUGGGCUGGAAGGAUGAGAUGGGGCUUACCAGCAAAGGCACUUGACACCAAUCUAAGGGCUUGAGUAGAAGUCCCCAAAGCCACUGAGCUCCCGAAACUUGUCCUCUGACCUCCAAAUGGGUCGUAUGCCGUGUGCAGCAAACGCGCUCACACACACAAUAGAAAGAAAUAAAUGUGAAGGAAGUUCUAGAACUUCGGUGCUGGGGACACGGCUCAGUGUGUAAAGCGCUGAUUUCACAUGCCCAGCGCCUAUGUGAGGUCACACUUACAAUCCUAAGGCUGGUGGGGAGAAAGACAAGAGGACCCCUGGAGACCUGCAGCCAGCCAGGCUAGCCAGGGUUGGUUUACCAAGACUCUGCCUCAUAGAGUAGACAAUGACAGAAAACAGUGACUGUGUGCACACACACAUGCACUCAUGCACACACCCAUGUCCCUGAGAACCACCCUUAAACUGUCCCUAGUCCGGUGGAGGUAGCAAGUGUCAUAGCCCCACAACCCUCGUUUCCAGUGUGCCCUGGAGUCUCCAGAGACCAGGCAGUCCCCAGGGGCUACUAUGCUCCCAGCAAGCAUCCAGAAGACAUUUCUGAAGAGAGACCCCUCCCCCCUCCCGCUCACAUUCGGAGACCGUUGCUGACUUACUCGGGAUGGCAGACUUGCCGAUGACAGCAUCACCACCCUCCACUCUCGGGCUCUUGACACUCUGGGCAAUCCCAGUUCUCACUGCAGACCCAGUGAGGUAGCAGGCAAGCAGCCCAAGGCUGAGAGAGCUUAAGACACUUACCUUAGGCCACACUCAGUAAUUCCCCAAUCCAACAGUGCUUACGAUUUCCACCAUCCUCCCGAGUCCCACCCAACAAGGCUCCCGCCAACCCCACCCGCACAGUGGCUUUCCCAUGGGGGGAAGAAUAGUGAGCCUUCCUCUCUAUGUUUUGUGACAAUAAUAAAGCACUGGACCUUUGAUUUGUGUCAUCUUUCUUCCUGGGAGUAUAGGGGCAAGAAAGAACUUUCCAGUACUCACAGCCAUAACCUCCAAGAGCCUCUGCUUAACAGACAUUUCCACAGACCAGUACAG